RNAcentral lists this ribosomal RNA (253 nucleotides) under uncultured bacterium. Its description in RNAcentral is "partial 16S ribosomal RNA". It matches the Rfam family "Bacterial small subunit ribosomal RNA", at positions 524 to 776 of the family's 1533-position model. The record is from RNAcentral.
UACGUAGGGGGCAAGCGUUGUCCGGAUUUAUUGGGCGUAAAGAGCGUGUAGGCGGCCAGGUAGGUCCGAUGUGAAAACUCGAGGCUCAACCUCGAGAUGUCGGCGGAAACCAUCUGGCUAGAGUCCGGAAGAGGAGAGUGGAAUUCCUGGUGUAGCGGUGAAAUGCGCAGAUAUCAGGAAGAACACCCGUGGCGAAGGCGGCUCUCUGGGACGGUACUGACGCUGAGACGCGAAAGCGUGGGGAGCGAACAGG